This 211-nucleotide ribosomal RNA is filed under the name uncultured bacterium. RNAcentral describes it as "partial 16S ribosomal RNA". It matches the Rfam family "Bacterial small subunit ribosomal RNA", at positions 137 to 334 of the family's 1533-position model. The record is from RNAcentral.
UGUGGGAUAGUCCUGCGAAAGUGGGUGUAAUACCGCAUAAGCUCUUCAGGUUAGAGCCUGAGGAUGAAAGCUGGCCUCUGCGAGCAAGCUGGUGUCAAGAGAGGGGGUUGCGUCCUAUUAGCUAGCUGGUGGGGUAAUGGCCUACCAGGGCGACGAUGGGUAGCUGGUCUGAGAGGAUGAUCAGUCACACUGGGACUGAGAGACGGCCCAG